RNAcentral lists this long non-coding RNA (450 nucleotides) under Musa acuminata (dwarf banana). RNAcentral's name for it is "long non-coding RNA (MACU_LNC005810)". The record is from RNAcentral. Lineage: Eukaryota; Viridiplantae; Streptophyta; Magnoliopsida; Zingiberales; Musaceae.
UUCAUUACACAAAUCAUUGAUGUCAAUAGUGUAUACGUUAUUUUGUUUCAAUGCAAUCAUAGAUAUAUUUUUGUGUGGUUUUUCAAUGAUGCAAGCAUUAGAUUCAAAUCUUAUAAUAUAUCCUUUAUCACAUAAUUGACUAAUGCUCAAGAGGUUAUGUUUUAAACCAUCAACUAGCAAAACAUCUUCAAUAGAGAAGUUGGAUUUGUUACCUAUGGUUCCUUUGCCAAUGAUUUUACCCUUGUUGUUGUCUCCGAAGGUGACAUAGCCUUCGUCUAUGCUAGUGAGCUUAGAGAAUUGAGAUGGAUCUCCGGUCAUAUGCCUUGAGCAUCCACUAUCAAGGUACCAUCUCUUGCUCCUAGCUUGCGAUGGUUUAGUUUUCUACAAGAAAGGAUGAUGUUUAGGUACCCAUUUGCUUUUGGGUGCCUCACAAAUAGAUCUACAUUUCUU